GGGGGCGAAAUGGCUUCGACGGGGGAAGCGGUGGCAAGAGGAGCGAGCCGGGAUCUCACCAGCCCGUUAAACGGUGAACAAACAAUAAUUGCCAACGAAGAAUACGCUUUAGCUGCUUAAUUCAGCUAACCUCCUACCCGCUGCGCCCGCGGUGCGGGAUUAGGGGGUCACACUAGCGGGACGCUCUAUAGCCUGAUUCUCGGAGGGCUAUAGCUAAGACUGCCGAGAUAGUGCCAAAGCAGCCUGGUUAUGGGCGGCGGCGGUGCGAAAUCUAAAACAUAACCUACGCUCGUAGAGCCUGUUGUGGUCGUUCCUUCGGACGGUGGGUUCAACUCCCCCCGCCUCCACCA
This is a non-coding RNA of Desulfotomaculum nigrificans CO-1-SRB, 350 nucleotides long. It matches the Rfam family "transfer-messenger RNA". From Rfam's summary of the family: Bacterial tmRNA, also known as 10Sa RNA or SsrA, is named for its dual tRNA and mRNA-like properties. Its role is to liberate the mRNA from a stalled ribosome. Lineage: Bacteria; Bacillati; Bacillota; Clostridia; Eubacteriales; Desulfotomaculaceae. The record is from Rfam.